CGGUCGUUCCUACCGCGGGGGGCGAGUCUGACGGUCAAGUUCGCCAGAUGCGUUUGCGUCUGUGGUUUCUAUUGAAAAUUGAAUGCAAUUUCGAUUCGAAAUAGAACCAAACGACGACACGCCUUUAAGCACGUCGGAAAGGAAAUCAGAAAUGGCGUUUGCUGCGACGUUCCGGCGCGCCGCUAGAACGCCGUCGGGUUCGUACCGCCGUUCCUGCUGCGCAAAGACAUACGUAUAUAUUUAUUCUUAUUUGUUUAAUCUAUUAUGUAGUUAAAUGACUUUUGGUAUACUUCUAACUCUCCGUGCCGCUGUAAUAGGUGAAUUUCCCCUCUGGAUGAAUAAAAUGUUCUAUCUAUCUAACUAGCUAUCUAGCUGAGGGUCACACACAGGAACAGGAACAAUGCCGUCCUUUCACUGAAGCCGUGAGGCAGUAGGACCCAGCGAUCUGCUGCCGCCUCUUCUGCCCUCCUCUUCAGGCUCCUCUAGUUCCAGAGCUGAGCGAGACAGGAGAACAGAGUGCAGAGAGAGAAGGAGGGGGAAAGACUGAGAGAAAGAGAGAGCGAGAGAGAGAGAGAGAGAGAGAGAGAGAGAGAGAAGCGGCGUGAAUGUUCAAGCCCACUGUGCUCCCUGCUACAAUCCUGAAUCUGUGGAAUGGACGGAUUAACCCGUGGGAUUUAAACAUUUUGGAGCUGGAGCUGAAGCUCAUGAGGAGGCGUCCAAUCAGGAGAAGAUCGGGAUUCAAAGAAAUCCGAUACCUUGACAGUCCCUCUCCGGCUGGGGUCCUUCUUAUUGUCAUCACAGCGCAUGAGGAAAGCCACGACCUCGCGUCUCGAGCUCCGGCUCAACCUACGCAUGCGCCGGACCAAAACGUGCUUCAUAUUCAAAUGUCAUGCAGAUUCGUGUGUAGAAAGCGGCUAUUAUAUCCCCGACACGGUUGUCAGUGCGGUCGGAUCGGCUCCGGGUGCGAGCUCCGAGCGUGUCCGUUUACAAUCGUGAGGUCUUUUCAGGGCUUUAAUGCGGCUUUAGACUCCAGCGCUCAGCCUCCGAGAUGUAUUCGCAUCGUAGUAGACGGGCCGUUCCCAAAGGUUCCCCAGCG
Molecule: long non-coding RNA, 1096 nt
Organism: Ictalurus punctatus (channel catfish)
Lineage: Eukaryota; Metazoa; Chordata; Actinopteri; Siluriformes; Ictaluridae
Source: Ensembl